AUUGAACGCUGGCGGCAUGCCUUACACAUGCGAGUCGAACGGCAGCACGGGUGCUUGCACCUGGUGGCGAGUGGCGAACGGGUGAGUAAUACAUCGGAACGUACCUUAUCGUGGGGGAUAACGCAGCGAAGGCUGUGCUAAUACCGCAUACGCCCUGAGGGGGAAAGCGGGGGAUCGCAAGACCUCGCGCGAUUAGAGCGGCCGAUGCCUGAUUAGCUUGUUGGUGGGGUAAAAGCCCACCAAGGCGACGAUCAGUAGCUGGUCUGAGAGGACGAUCAGCCACACUGGGACUGAGACACGGCCCAGACUCCUACGGGAGGCAGCAGUGGGGAAUUUUGGACAAUGGGGGCAACCCUGAUCCAGCAAUGCCGCGUGAGCGAAGAAGGCCUUCGGGUUGUAAAGCUCUUUUGUCAGGGAAGAAACACCGGCUCUAACACAGUCCGGGAAUGACGGUACCUGAAGAAUAAGCACCGGCUAACUACGUGCCAGCCGCCGCGGUAA
RNAcentral lists this ribosomal RNA (501 nucleotides) under uncultured bacterium. RNAcentral's name for it is "partial 16S ribosomal RNA". It matches the Rfam family "Bacterial small subunit ribosomal RNA", at positions 29 to 523 of the family's 1533-position model. The record is from RNAcentral.